Molecule: RNA transcript, 2494 nt
Organism: Arachis stenosperma
Lineage: Eukaryota; Viridiplantae; Streptophyta; Magnoliopsida; Fabales; Fabaceae
Exons: 10
Source: RefSeq, a predicted model, not a curated record
UCCAUACUCCAUAGUAACUGCAUAACCGAAACAUUUAUUCUCUUGCUCCCUCACUCCGUCUCUCUGCGUCUCCAUGUGCUCCAUUUUCAUAUAUCAUCACCACACAAUCUUUAGGUUUUACUUUAGAUCUGAAUUCAAACGGGAAUUCUUUUCGCUUGCAUACUCUCGCAGUUGUGUAUUCAAAUCGACAUUAUAAAUAGCCAAUGGGAGUAGUUAUUGAGAGCUCCGUUUGGGAACCGAAUCCCUCCAUAUACAUCUUCCUCUUCGUUUGUUGUUGCUUCUCGAUCUUUCUUUUCCCUUACGCCUCUAACCACCACAGAACCUCCACAAUUUUCGAUCAUGGAAUCUCUUCCUCCUUUCUCCGUUUCCAACGCAACUUCCUCUUCGUUUAUUCUCUCGCUUCAGUGAUGGAAGGUCUGUGGUCAGUGUUCGGGGAGUAUGAGUUAGCUUCGUAUGGACUCAGCCGAAAACAGAUGAUCGAGUCUCUGUAUUAUGGAUACACAACGGCUCUCUUCGCUGCUCCUUUCCUUGGCGUGCUUUCAGAUUUGAUAGGUCACAAGAAAGUCUCCCUAAUCUUUUGCAUCCUACACCUGUUUGCUGGCAUAUGGAAGAGGUUUUCAGAGCAACCAAGCAUUUUUAUGACUAGCAUAUAUCUCUCUCUGGCCAGUACUAUAUUUUUAUUCAGUUUUGAGACUUGGAUGGUCACUCAACAUGAAAAGCAAGGGCACAGGCAAGAUUCACUUAAUGACACAUUUUGGUUAAUGACUUUCUUUGAGUCUGCAUGGUUAAUUGCCAGCCAAAUGUUUGCAAAUUGGCUUAUUGGUAAUAGUACAGACAAAAACAUUGCUCCUUCCUCUACUAUUAUCAUCCUGGCAACCAUAUGCUUUACUUUUGUCACCAGAGGAUGGACAGAAACCCCAGGAGCAGGGACUUUUAAAGAGUAUAGUAGGUCCUUCUAUGCAUAUAUUUUUGGUGAUAAGAGGAUAUGGCUGUUAACCUGGGCACAAAUGUGCCUUCACUUUUCAAUUGGAAUUUUUUGGAUCCUCUGGGCGCCUACUGUGGUGGCUGAUGGGCGAGAGGUGCAAUUAGGAUUGAUAUAUCCUUCUUUUUUGGCAUCAAGGAUGAUAGGAAGCACCAUAUUUCCUUGUCUUACAAGUGGUCCAUCGUCACUUAGAACUGAGGACUGCCUAGUAUAUGCAUACGUUGUAUUGGCUCUUCUCCUGUCUUUUGUGGCUUAUGACUAUCAGGAAAUUGGAUUUCUGAUGACACUAUUUAGCAUGUUUCAUGCUUGUGUCGGGUUCAUUUUACCGUCACUUGCCAGAUUGAGGACCAUGUAUGUGCCUAAUGAAUUGCGUGGAGGAAUGAUGGGCCUUUCUAUUGCUCCUGCAAAUGCAGCAAUUCUUCUUUCUGUGGUACAGGGUGGUUAUUAUCGGAAUGUUGGAAAUUCAGCAUUAAUGGCAUUUGGUGUGCUUGGUUUAUUGCUAGCAGCUGUUUGCAUGCAUGCCCUGAAGCAAUUGGGAAAGCAACCGUAUCACAAUUGGCAUAAACAGUGAAUGGAUAUCCCUUUGGCAGGCUUUGUUUAGUGGUGGCUGUCUCUCUCUCCUGUUGACAGAAAUGAGUAGUCAGGAGAUCAAACUUCGAUGAGGCAAAUGCAGACGAAGAGCAAUAAAUUUCUGAAGUGUACGACACUCAACUCGUAAUGACUGAAAUUGGGGUACAUGUGUAAAAAGUAAAAACUAAGAACUAAGAGAAAGACUGGCGGGCAACUUCACAGUUUACUUCUUUAUUUUAAAUCUUAAUAUCAAGAUCGGGUUCUCUACUGAUUUGAGUGAUUUGAGUAUGUCAGCCUUAUAGGGCUAUACAUGACUAACGGGUUUCUAAUCUUGUUUAAUUAUUGUAGCUUACACACUUUGCUGCUUGGGUUUGCUAAUGGAAUCUAGUCAACAACCGCACAUGCUUUCGAAGGUGGUAUCUGAAUUUUUAUGUGCUUACGCAUGCCAGUUUUGUCCAGAAAUGCAUCUAAAGACGAGGAGAUAUGGCAAAAAGGAACGCUCAGGAGGCCUACCAAAGGGUCCAGGAGGCCAAGGCGAAGUCCCGGGCUAGGUCCGGGGGUGCUAAAGCAGUCGUUUCUCCUCCUCCUCCUCCUCCUCCCAAGAAUACUGGCACUCCCUCUCAACCUCUUAUAAUUUCUUCAAGUUUGUCUCGACCACCUCCUUCUGCUCAAAUUCUCUCCGAGCCAGAGAAGAAGAAGCGCAAGACUUCAGAGUCUGGCCCUUCUUCUUUUGAUGGUGGGGUUAAGGCGGAUGCUCUUGCAUUCGUCCGAAAGAACAUCUAUCCUUUUAUAAGUAUGGAUGAUGUUUCUGUUCGAAACCACCUUACCACCAUGGCCGAGGAGAGUUUUAGGACAGCGGGCGUUUGUGGCAAACUUUUGGACAUUUUCGAGAAGACUCCUCUCAGCUCCUUGGGGGCAACCUCAAAGGUUGAGGAGUUGGAG